RNAcentral lists this ribosomal RNA (331 nucleotides) under uncultured eukaryote. RNAcentral describes it as "partial 18S ribosomal RNA". It matches the Rfam family "Eukaryotic small subunit ribosomal RNA", at positions 1470 to 1796 of the family's 1831-position model. The record is from RNAcentral.
CCCUUAGAUGUUCUGGGCCGCACGCGCGCUACACUGACGAAGUCAGCGAGCAUGUCCUACGCCGACAGGUGCGGGGAAUCUUGUCAAACUUCGUCGUGAUGGGGAUUGAUUAUUGAAAUUCUUGAUCAUCAACGAGGAAUUCCUAGUAAGCGCAAGUCAGCAGCUUGCGUUGAUUACGUCCCUGCCCUUUGUACACACCGCCCGUCGCUACUACCGAUUGAAUGGUUUAGUGAGAUCUUCGGAUUGGCGCCACUGCGGCUCAGCAAUGGGCUCGGUGGAUGCCGAAAAGUCGAUCAAACUUGAUCAUUUAGAGGAAGUAAAAGUCGUAACA